Alosa sapidissima (American shad) is the source of this 101-nucleotide long non-coding RNA. RefSeq lists it as uncharacterized. The record is from RefSeq and is a predicted model, not a curated record. The transcript has 3 exons. NCBI's taxonomy places the organism in Eukaryota, Metazoa, Chordata, Actinopteri, Clupeiformes, Clupeidae.
AUCCUGGCUUUCGUUUUGCCUCUAUUUGUAACUCAGUGAAAGAGGCAAGAAAAGCUGUGUGUGUGUGCUGUCUGUGUGUGUGUGUGUGUGUGCAGUUUGUG